UGGGAUUAAAGGCAUGUGCUCCCAUGCCCAG
RNAcentral lists this non-coding RNA (31 nucleotides) under Rattus norvegicus (Norway rat). Lineage: Eukaryota; Metazoa; Chordata; Mammalia; Rodentia; Muridae. The record is from RNAcentral.